Molecule: ribosomal RNA, 244 nt
Filed under: uncultured Thermovirga sp.
Lineage: Bacteria; Thermotogati; Synergistota; Synergistia; Synergistales; Thermovirgaceae
Description: partial 16S ribosomal RNA
Rfam family: Bacterial small subunit ribosomal RNA
Source: RNAcentral
UGGAGGGACUGCCGGCGACAAGCCGGAGGAAGGUGGGGAUGACGUCAAGUCAUCAUGGCCCUUAUGUCCAGGGCGACACACGUGCUACAAUGGCCGGCACAGCGGGAAGCGGAGGGGCGACCCUGAGCGGAUCCCUUAAAGCCGGUACGCAGUUCGGAUUGAAGUCUGCAACUCGACUUCAUGAAGCUGGAAUCGCUAGUAAUCGUGGAUCAGCCAAGCCGCGGUGAAUACGUUCCCGGGCCUU